UGCUUAACUGGCUGAGCCACCCAGUCGCCCCUGAUAGGAUUUUUUGAAAGUCCACUUAUAAAUGUUGCAGUGAGAGAAACUUCCUACCUUGUAGCAAUGCUGGCUACUAUACUCCUCACCCGAUUUGGGGGCUCCCAUGAAUUCGUGCCACCACACACUGUCAUCUUUCAUCUAAGAGCGGCGUCCUUCCUAAUACUCAAGGAAUGAUAGGAUUACCAAUCGGCCAUUAAAUGAGUGUGUUUCCAUCAGAGACAUCACAAUGUUUGCAGAAAAGAUGCAUUUAGUUGAUGCGAAUAAAUAUGUCUCUUCAGUACCAAGAAGUACCACAGGAUAGAAAUUACCGUUGUUUUUCUCCUGCCACUGCCCCUUCUCCCCCCGACCCCCCCUCACUGUGCUGUAGAUCACUUGUCCUGUUCGCGAAUGUAUUAGUAUAUACCUUUAUCUCCUGAAGAUGUGAAACAACUUCCAUCUUCAGAGAAUCA
Canis lupus familiaris (dog) is the source of this 482-nucleotide long non-coding RNA. RefSeq lists it as uncharacterized. NCBI's taxonomy places the organism in Eukaryota, Metazoa, Chordata, Mammalia, Carnivora, Canidae. The transcript has 3 exons. The record is from RefSeq and is a predicted model, not a curated record.